AUUGAACGCUGGCGGCAGGCCUAACACAUGCAAGUCGAGCGGAUGAAGGGAGCUUGCUCCUGGAUUCAGCGGCGGACGGGUGAGUAAUGCCUAGGAAUCUGCCUGGUAGUGGGGGAUAACGUCCGGAAACGGGCGCUAAUACCGCAAACGUCCUGAGGGAGAAAGUGGGGGAUCUUCGGACCUCACGCUAUCAGAUGAGCCUAGGUCGGAUUAGCUAGUUGGUGGGGUAAAGGCCUACCAAGGCGACGAUCCGUAACUGGUCUGAGAGGAUGAUCGGUCACACUGGAACUGAGACACGGUCCAGACUCCUACGGGAGGCAGCAGUGGGGAAUAUUGGACAAUGGGCGAAAGCCUGAUCCAGCCAUGCCGCGUGUGUGAAGAAGGUCUUCGGAUUGUAAAGCACUUUAAGUUGGGAGGAAGGGCAGUAAGUUAAUACCUUGCUGUUUUGACGUUACCAACAGAAUAAGCACCGGCUAACUUCGUG
Molecule: ribosomal RNA, 484 nt
Filed under: uncultured bacterium
Lineage: Bacteria
Description: partial 16S ribosomal RNA
Rfam family: Bacterial small subunit ribosomal RNA
Source: RNAcentral